UACGUAGGUGGCGAGCGUUGUCCGGAAUUACUGGGCGUAAAGGGUGCGUAGGCGGUUAUUUAAGUCAGAUGUGAAAUUCCGGGGCUCAACUUCGGAAUUGCAUUUGAAACUGGGUAGCUAGAGUGCAGGAGAGGGAAGCGGAAUUCCUAGUGUAGCGGUGAAAUGCGUAGAUAUUAGGAAGAACACCAGUGGCGAAGGCGGCUUCCUGGACUGUAACUGACGCUGAUGCACGAAAGCGUGGGGAGCAAACAGGAUUAGAUACCCUGGUAGUCCACGCUGUAAACGAUGAGUGCUAGGUGUAGGGGGUAUCGACACCCUCUGUGCCGCAGUAAACGCAAUAAGCACUCCGCCUGGGGAGUACGGUCGCAAGACUAAA
RNAcentral lists this ribosomal RNA (376 nucleotides) under uncultured bacterium. RNAcentral describes it as "bacterial SSU rRNA". It matches the Rfam family "Bacterial small subunit ribosomal RNA", at positions 524 to 898 of the family's 1533-position model. The record is from RNAcentral.